GCUUACUACUGCCAACCCAUUAACAGUAUUGAAUAAUUUCAUAAAUUAUGAAAACUACCAUGCUAGAACUAGUAACAAGAAAAUGAAUUUCUCCAAAGUGUAAACAUAAACCAAAACGGACAACCCAUUGGUAAUUAACGACUCUGAACCCAUUAUAGCAAAACAUCUAGAAAACCCUAUACUUAAUACCGUUAACCUUACACAAGAACUCUUCUGGAAAGAUUAAAAGGAAGAGAAGGAACUCGGCAAAUUUUAACCCCGCCUGUUUACCAAAAACAUCGCCUCUUGCUUAGUUAUAAGAGGUCCCGCCUGCCCAGUGUUUCAAUCAACGGCCGCGUGAUCUAAACGCGCGAAGGUAGCAUAAUAAUUUGUUCUUUAAAUGAGGACUUGUAUCAAUGGCAUCACGAGGGUUAUACUGUCUCCUCUCCCCAAUCAGUGAAACUAAUCUCCCUGUGAAAAAGCAGGAAUAAGAACAUAAGACGAGAAGACCCCAUGGAGCUUAAAACAAGGCAGCAAUUCAAUAACAAAAUCAGAACAAUCUUAAGCCCUGUAUGCCAGUUUUAGGUUGGGGUGACCACGGAGCAAAGCAAAGCCUCCACAACGAGAAGGGAUUAUUCCCUUACCCAAGAGACACGCCUCUAAGAAUUAUUAAAAUAACGUCUAAUGAUCCGAUUAUCGACCAAUGGACCAAGUUACCCUGGGGAUAACAGCGCAAUCCACUCUGAGAGCUCCUAUCGACGAGUGGGCUUACGACCUCGAUGUUGGAUCAGGAUAUCCCAGUGGUGCAGCCGCUACUAAAG
RNAcentral lists this ribosomal RNA (800 nucleotides) under Occidozyga cf. laevis KU 306297. RNAcentral's name for it is "partial large subunit ribosomal RNA". It matches the Rfam family "Bacterial large subunit ribosomal RNA", at positions 1545 to 2570 of the family's 2925-position model. The record is from RNAcentral. Lineage: Eukaryota; Metazoa; Chordata; Amphibia; Anura; Dicroglossidae.